GAUGAACGCUGGCGGCGCGCCUAACACAUGCAAGUCGAACGAUCAAAGCACCUUCGGGUGUGUAUAAAGUGGCGAACGGCUGAGUAACACGUGGGCAACCUGCCCCUCUCAUUGGGAUAGCCACGGGAAACCGUGGAUAAUACCGAAUACUUCGGGACUUCCACAUGGAAGACCCGAGAAAGCUCCGGCGGCGGGGGAUGGGCCCGCGGCCUGUUAGCUUGUUGGUGAGGUAAUGGCCUACCAAGGCAAUGAAGGGUAGCUGGGUUGAGAGCCCGACCAGCCAGAUUGGGCCUGCGACACGGCCCAGACGCCUACGGGACGCAGCAGUGGGGAGUCUGGCACAAUGGGCGCGAGCCUGAUGCGGCGACGCCGCGUGCGGGAUGAAGGCCUUCGGGUUGUAAACCGCUUUCAGCGGGGACGAGGCGAAAGUGACGGUACCUGCAGAAGAAGCCCCGGCUAACUACGUG
This 467-nucleotide ribosomal RNA is filed under the name uncultured bacterium. Its description in RNAcentral is "partial 16S ribosomal RNA". It matches the Rfam family "Bacterial small subunit ribosomal RNA", at positions 28 to 507 of the family's 1533-position model. The record is from RNAcentral.